This 253-nucleotide ribosomal RNA is filed under the name uncultured bacterium. RNAcentral describes it as "partial 16S ribosomal RNA". It matches the Rfam family "Bacterial small subunit ribosomal RNA", at positions 524 to 776 of the family's 1533-position model. The record is from RNAcentral.
UACGUAGGGUGCAAGCGUUAAUCGGCAUUACUGGGCGUAAAGCGUGCGCAGGCGGUUUUGUAAGUCUGUCGUGAAAUCCCCGGGCUUAACCUGGGAAUGGCGAUGGAGACUGCAAGGCUGGAAUCUGGCAGAGGGGGGUAGAAUUCCACGUGUAGCAGUGAAAUGCGUAGAGAUGUGGAGGAACACCGAUGGCGAAGGCAGCCCCCUGGGCUAAGAUUGACGCUCAUGCACGAAAGCGUGGGGAGCAAACAGG